This 495-nucleotide ribosomal RNA is filed under the name uncultured bacterium. RNAcentral describes it as "partial 16S ribosomal RNA". It matches the Rfam family "Bacterial small subunit ribosomal RNA", at positions 28 to 507 of the family's 1533-position model. The record is from RNAcentral.
GACGAACGCUGGCGGCGUGCCUAAUACAUGCAAGUAGAACGCUGAAGGAGGAGCUUGCUCUUCUGGAUGAGUUGCGAACGGGUGAGUAACGCGUAGGUAACCUGCCUGGUAGCGGGGGAUAACUAUUGGAAACGAUAGCUAAUACCGCAUAAGAGUAGAUGUUGCAUGACAUUUACUUAAAAGGUGCAAUUGCAUCACUACCAGAUGGACCUGCGUUGUAUUAGCUAGUUGGUGGGGUAACGGCUUACCAAGGCGACGAUACAUAGCCGACCUGAGAGGGUGAUCGGUCACACUGGGACUGAGACACGGCCCAGACUCCUACGGGAGGCAGCAGUAGGGAAUCUUCGGCAAUGGACGGAAGUCUGACCGAGCAACGCCGCGUGAGUGAAGAAGGUUUUCGGAUCGUAAAGCUCUGUUGUAAGAGAAGAACGAGUGUGAGAGUGGAAAGUUCACACUGUGACGGUAUCUUACCAGAAAGGGACGGCUAACUACGUG